GUCCAACUGACGAGUCCCAAAUAAGACGAAACCUGUGUCCUAGAU
Schistosoma haematobium is the source of this 45-nucleotide non-coding RNA. Lineage: Eukaryota; Metazoa; Platyhelminthes; Trematoda; Strigeidida; Schistosomatidae. The record is from Rfam.